Heterocephalus glaber (naked mole-rat) is the source of this 337-nucleotide non-coding RNA. The record is from RefSeq and is a predicted model, not a curated record. Lineage: Eukaryota; Metazoa; Chordata; Mammalia; Rodentia; Bathyergidae.
GCAACAGGUACCUGGGGCAGAAUAAGAACACUGAAGUCCUCUUCCUCCUGGAGAGAAAACCCUUCGAUUGGAAGCUGGGGGACAGGAAAGCUUGUUUGUGGCUACAGCAGUCUGAAGUAGUCUCAGCCUCGUAGUAAAGAAGAGAGGGUUCUGUUAUCACCAGGGGAAAGCUGGUGUGCUGGCGAUGCAACAGUAGCUUUGGCCUAGCAAGAGAAAAUCUCCAGCCCAGGAAGAACUUGUCUUUGUCAAUGUCCAGAUUGCACUAUGUUAGUUGAGAAGAAGCCAGAAACAAAAAGUCAAAAUGGAAUGGUCCUUCUUUUUCAUUAUGAUCCACCCA